GAGACCGAAAGCGGAAGUCACGGGGAGCUGGCGGCUGGGUUGGGCGGCGGAUCUGCAGAGUUUCGAGGUUCUGUCAAGUUCGCUGCCCGCCGCCCAACUUGAAGCCUCAUUUACCUUUCGGCUACCUGAUUUGGAUAAAUGGAGAAAAACCGGGGCCUCUAACUCAUAAUGCCCUCCCGCGUUCAAGAUGCCAGUUUUGGGGCGGAGAUUUCUAAAUUAAAGCCUACAUCCCGCGCGGGAAUAUCUGCUGGUAAUUUCUCGCCUGCCAGAAAACUCCUUUGAUCUCUGGCUGUGGAGACUCGGGACCCCUACCCAAGUAUGGGACACUGCCUCCGUUGGGGUUAUCUCAGAUCAAUGGAAUGGGAACAAGCUAUCCGGCCUGGGCGCCGUUCACGUCUCACAUCUGAGAUCGUAACACCGACUGUGCUUAGGACCUCAGCAAUAACUUUUUGCCGUCUCUGGCCCACUGACUCCUCUCAAAAUGUCCCCUGGUCCUUUUGCUAUUCACGUAUUUCUGUGGGCUUGAGAUUUGCUUAACUCCUAUAUUGGCAAAAGGCCACUUGAAAUCGCUAGCAGAUACUCGAUAACCUGAAAGGAUAUUGCCUGGGGACACCUGACAACAGAAAGUCUAAGGUUUUCAUCUAGGAUUGGGAGUUACCCCAACACCAGCAGGAUGCAGGAAAAAGUAACUGACCGGAUGGUUGCCUCAAUCUGUUGAUUCUUCAGUGAGUUAGCUCAGAUUUUGUCCAGGAACAGCUUUCAGAGCCAAAGAUUACGUAUUGAACUUUACCAAGGCAUCUGGUGACUAGAAAACUCC
Molecule: long non-coding RNA, 817 nt
Filed under: Homo sapiens (human)
Lineage: Eukaryota; Metazoa; Chordata; Mammalia; Primates; Hominidae
Description: non-protein coding lnc-AMIGO1-2:7
Source: RNAcentral